UACAGAGGUCUCAAGCGUUGUUCGGAUUCAUUGGGCGUAAAGGGUGCGUAGGCGGCGCGGUAAGUCGGGUGUGAAAUCUCGGAGCUUAACUCCGAAACUGCAUUCGAUACUGCCGUGCUUGAGGACUGGAGAGGAGACUGGAAUUCCUGGUGUAGCAGUGAAAUGCGUAGAUAUCAGGAGGAACACCGAUGGCGAAGGCAGGUCUCUGGGCUGACACUGACGCUCAUGCACGAAAGCGUGGGGAGCAAACAAG
This 253-nucleotide ribosomal RNA is filed under the name uncultured bacterium. RNAcentral's name for it is "partial 16S ribosomal RNA". It matches the Rfam family "Bacterial small subunit ribosomal RNA", at positions 524 to 776 of the family's 1533-position model. The record is from RNAcentral.